RNAcentral lists this ribosomal RNA (483 nucleotides) under uncultured bacterium. Its description in RNAcentral is "partial 16S ribosomal RNA". It matches the Rfam family "Bacterial small subunit ribosomal RNA", at positions 30 to 507 of the family's 1533-position model. The record is from RNAcentral.
UUGCACGCUGGCGGCCGGCCUCACCCCUGCCAGUCGAGCGGAUGAAGGGAGCUUGCUCCUGGAUUCAGCGGCGGACGGGUGAGUAAUGCCUAGGAAUCUGCCUGGUAGUGGGGGAUAACGUCCGGAAACGGGCGCUAAUACCGCAUACGUCCUGAGGGAGAAAGUGGGGGAUCUUCGGACCUCACGCUAUCAGAUGAGCCUAGGUCGGAUUAGCUAGUUGGUGGGGUAAAGGCCUACCAAGGCGACGAUCCGUAACUGGUCUGAGAGGAUGAUCAGUCACACUGGAACUGAGACACGGUCCAGACUCCUACGGGAGGCAGCAGUGGGGAAUAUUGGACAAUGGGCGAAAGCCUGAUCCAGCCAUGCCGCGUGUGUGAAGAAGGUCUUCGGAUUGUAAAGCACUUUAAGUUGGGAGGAAGGGCAGUAAGUUAAUACCUUGCUGUUUUGACGUUACCAACAGAAUAAGCACCGGCUAACUUCGUG